CCCCUAGAUGCUCUGGGCCGCACGCGCGCUACACUGGUCGAUGCAACGAGUUUCUUUCCUUGGCCGACAGGCCUGGGCAAUCUUUGAACAUCGAUCGUGAUCGGGAUAGAUUCUUGUAAUUUUUGAUCUUAAACGAGGAAUUCCUAGUAAACGCAAGUCAUCAGCUUGCAUUGAUUACGUCCCUGCCCUUUGUACACACCGCCCGUCGCACCUACCGAUUGAAUGGUCCGGUGAAAUCUCGGGACGGCGGCUUGGUCGCUUGCGUCCGACUGCUGAAACUUGAUUAAACCAUAUCAUUUAGAGGAAGGUGAAGUCGUAACA
This 321-nucleotide ribosomal RNA is filed under the name uncultured eukaryote. RNAcentral describes it as "partial 18S ribosomal RNA". It matches the Rfam family "Eukaryotic small subunit ribosomal RNA", at positions 1470 to 1796 of the family's 1831-position model. The record is from RNAcentral.